CCUACGGGAGGCUGCAGUGGGGAAUAUUGGACAAUGGGGGGAACCCUGAUCCAGCCAUGCCGCGUGUGUGAAGAAGGCCCUCGGGUUGUAAAGCACUUUCAGUGAGGAAGAACGCCUGGUGGUUAAUACCCAUCAGGAAAGACAUCACUCACAGAAGAAGCACCGGCUAACUCCGUGCCAGCAGCCGCGGUAAUACGGAGGGUGCGAGCGUUAAUCGGAAUUACUGGGCGUAAAGCGCGCGUAGGUGGCUUGAUAAGCCGGUUGUGAAAGCCCCGGGCUCAACCUGGGGACGGCAUCCGGAACUGUCAAGCUAGAGUGCAGGAGAGGAAGGUAGAAUUCCCGGUGUAGCGGUGAAAUGCGUAGAGAUCGGGAGGAAUACCAGUGGCGAAGGCGGCCUUCUGGACUGACACUGACACUGAGGUGCGAAAGCGUGGGUAGCAAACAGGAUUAGAUACCCGAGUAGUC
RNAcentral lists this ribosomal RNA (465 nucleotides) under Vreelandella stevensii. RNAcentral's name for it is "partial 16S ribosomal RNA". It matches the Rfam family "Bacterial small subunit ribosomal RNA", at positions 338 to 795 of the family's 1533-position model. The record is from RNAcentral. Lineage: Bacteria; Pseudomonadati; Pseudomonadota; Gammaproteobacteria; Oceanospirillales; Halomonadaceae.